CUUGGCACGUAGUCAGUUGAGAUAUUGGCAGAGAUAUGAUAAUCAUAAACAAUGGCAGGAUGUUUUGGCAGGAAAAGUGCUGUGGGAAGUCCUGGUGAGAACUUCUGGCAGAGAGGUGACAGAGAAUGUUUGAUAGGAAGGUUUUGACAGGCAGAAACCAUUUUUGGAAUUUCUGUAUUAUUUGUGUGUUGCCAUGGUGAACGACGUAACAGGGAAUGCAUAAUGGUUACCAUGGUAACUGACUGUAACAAUAGGGUAGUAUGAUGGUUGCCAUGGUAAAGGAUGUAUUAUUAAGGAUGCAUAAUGAUUGCCUUAUUAACCAACCUUAGUAAUGUAAAUGCACAAUGGUUCCCAUGGUAACCCAUAUAUCAAUGAGAAUGAAUAAUGGUUGCUACAUUAAACAAUGUCACAAUGAGAAUUCACAAUGGUUGCGAUGGUAACCGAUUUCACAAUGCGAAUACACAAUGGUUGCCAUGGUAACCAGAGUAUCAAUGAGAAUGGACAAUGAUAGCCAUGGUAACCGAGGUCACAAUGAGAAUACACAAUGGUUGCCAUGGUAACCAAGUCACAACCAGAAUGCACAAAGCUUACCAUGAUAACAGAGGUCACAAUGAGGAUGCACAAUGAUUACCAUGGCAACUGAGGUCGCAAUGAGAACGCAAAAUGGUUGCCAUGGUAACUGACGUCACAAUGAGAACGCAAAAUGGUUGCCAUGAUAAACGACGUAACAAUGAGGAUGCACAAUGAUUGCCAUGGUAACCGAGGUCGCAAUGAGAAUGCACAAGGGUUGCCAUGGCAACUUACGUAACAAUGAGAAUGCACAAUGGUUACCAUGGUAACUGAGGUCACAAUGAGAAUGCACAAAACUUGCCACAAUAACCGAUGUCACAAUGAGAAUGCACGAUGGUUGCCAUGGCAAAUGACAUCACAAUGAGAAUGCACCAUGGCUGCCAUGGUAACUUACAUACCAAUGAGAAUGCACAAUGAUUGCUAUAGUAACUGAUGUCACAGUGAGAAUGCACAAUGGUUGCCAUGGUAACCGAGGUCACAAUGAGAAUGCACAAUGGUUACCAUGGUAACUGAGGUAAAAAUGAGACUAUUUUAUGUUUACCAUGGCAACCGAGGUCACAAUUAGAAUUCACAAUGGUUGGCAUGGUCAUCAACGUCAUAAUUUGGAUGCACAGUGGUUGCCAUGACAACUGAGGUAACAAUGAGAAUGCACAAUGGUUGCCAUGGUAACUGAGGUCACAAUGAGAAUGCAAAAUGGUUGCCAUGGUGUAAGGGGGUACUUUUGAUUUAGGUGAUCAAUGUAGCAAAGAGGGGUGAGAAAGUGAUUAUAUUCGCAUGUGAAACCAGCCAGAAUAUUGUACAGUGUGACUUUAUUGCACAAGUUCACUGUAAGGCCCACUGUGUCUUUAGCAAAGUCAACUGGAUGUCCCCCAUUAUCAGAGCUGAGCUCCUCCUUGGCCUGGCUCCACUCUGCAAGAGAGAUACAAAUCCCCUUGGAACACAAUGGUACAGGUCGUCCAUAGGGCUGAGGAAGGUGAUGGAGAGGAAGAUGAUGUUGGCAGGGGUUGUUGGCUCCUUGCCCUACAGUGGGGCACGCCCAGACUGUUGCCAUGAGGUGAUGAACGGGCGCUGUUUGGCUGCCACUCAAGCACCACCUUCUGCUGCGUCCUGGCCCUACGUAGUGUAAUGUAGAGCUGAUGGAAUGGGGUGUCAGCACUGCUGGGUGGAGCGAUGCUCAUCCUUCCAUCCACACUGUGCUGCUCCGCGGGGACACCCGCCAAGCACGGGCACCGACCAGCCCUGCAGAGCCUGGUAGGCCUGACGUGUCUGUGCAGGUGAGCACAGUUUAUUGAUAGGAAGUAACCAAGAAAGCAAACAUUUUAUUUCCUUUUUUUUUAUCCCUUUAAUUCCCUUUUUACUAGCUAAUGCUGUAAUAAAAGCUGUUCGUAGUAUUGUAUGCAUGGCAACUGAUAAAGUAGUGGUUUUAGUUUUUUCAACUUUUGAUUCUCUUUGCUAAUAGUUUUUAUAAAUUUUAUUCUCACUGCAAUAAAAGAUUUUUUUGUAGUGUUUGAA
Molecule: long non-coding RNA, 2082 nt
Organism: Myiozetetes cayanensis
Lineage: Eukaryota; Metazoa; Chordata; Aves; Passeriformes; Tyrannidae
Exons: 2
Source: RefSeq, a predicted model, not a curated record